Molecule: long non-coding RNA, 1568 nt
Filed under: Mus pahari (shrew mouse)
Lineage: Eukaryota; Metazoa; Chordata; Mammalia; Rodentia; Muridae
Description: lncRNA (MGP_PahariEiJ_G0004303.1)
Source: RNAcentral
CUUUGUACUCCCGGGUGGGAGCGGUGAGGGAGUGGGUAGACCUUGUCAGUGUCCUAAACCAUCGUCUAGGGACAGGGACAGGCCGAAGUGCGAUAGCAGUGCUGGGCAUGGUUUGUUUUGAUCGAACAGGUGUGGAACGUGUGGCUAUGCCAAAGGCCAACUGAAAAGUCAACAGCAAACCCACACGAAGCAAACACGAGGCUUCCACUGAUGGGUCUGUGGGCUUUACAGUGCGGGCAACGUCAGUGCUGGUCACAUAGACGGAGAGACCGUUUUUUGAUGCCAGAGAUUAAUGCUUCAGUCCGUCACCACGGGGGUUAAAGGAGCAGCAAGAGACCACGUGGUUGGACCCUGCUCCAAGCUGAGCUGCCUGGCGUUCUCUCCUCCCCUCCCACUCUGAGGCUGCAGUUCACAUACCGAAAACAAAUGGCAUAAAGGGCAGGCAGUUAAUUUUUCAGCUGGAGACUGAUGGAAUGUGGGUGUCUGGCAUGCACCUCUGCCUCCAGUCUCCUCAGGGAAAUACCUCCCGGAGGGCCCUUCAAAUUCCUCAUCUGCCCUUUAGGACCAAUAGGUAAUUCAGUUCUGAAAAAUCAGUCGGAAUGGGUCUUAUGUCCACUAUACCAAGAGCCCAAGGAUUGCACAGACGACAGGCCCAUUCGUUUGUGGUUUUGUUUUGUUUUGUUUUUUUGUUUUCUAACACAAGGUUUCAUGUAGUUCAGGCUGGCCUCAAACUCACUAUGCAGACAAGGCUGGCCUUGGAAUUCUGAUCCUCCUUGUUGGGGUUACAGGUAACUGAGGGGACAGUUUGUCAUGAGUUUACUUGGGGAGAGAGAAAGGUCGUCUUAGAAUAUACCUCAGGGUCUAGAUUCUAAGUCCCCAGAACCUCUGUUGGGUUGGACCAGGAGAGCCAGCCUGGUGAACAAGGAUGCAGAGAAGCCUUGGGGGCGGGGUGCACACCUUUAAUCCUAGCACUCCGGAAGCAGGGGCAGGUGGAUGUCUGAGUUCUCUAGGCCUACUGUGGUCUGUAGAGUGAGUUCUAGAACAGCUAGGGCCACAGAGAGAACUGUCUUAAAGGGGAGGAGGGGCGCUGAGGAAGUGGGGAACCAUGCAGGGAAGCAUAUUAACAUAACAGCGGAAAGUUGUGACAUAACCUGGAACUGAAGAAAAACUACUGCAUCCAUGUUGAUAGAAUGAAGGUGUAGGAGGUAAACAUGUAGGCUCAGGCUGAGCGGGGAUAAAACUCAUAGUAAAACACAUAUCUAGCAACACAGGUUCAAGGUCCAGAGUUGCUGUUGAAGAAGAAGAGGAGGAGGAAGAGGAAGAAGAUGAUGUAGGUCUGUUAGGAUGGAUGGGCUGUAGCUGGGUGUUAACACAUGUGUUAAGGCUCAGCGUGUGCAAAGCCUUGCAUUUGAUUCCCAGAAGCAUAUAGGCGUGGUGGUGCAUUUCAGCAUUUCGAAAGCCGGAGUUAGAGGAUCAAAAUUUUAAAACAAUCCUGGGCUACAUGAGACCCUUAAAAAAGAAAACAAAUAAAAUACAUUCUUCUGUUGGAAAUUUAGGAGGGUGACCUC